GACCGAACCACGGUCCCGGGAGCUUUCCAAUCCAACAGGUGCUGCCUCCUCCAGUCAAUUCCACCUCCUCCUCCACCCCCGCCUCCGGUCGAGCUCCCCUCCCCUCCCCUCCUCCGCCCCAAUCCUCGCCCGAACCCUAGCCCCGGGCCUCCCGCCAGCCGCGGGAUGCGCCGCCCGCCAUCCCCAGCUGCCCGCUGAUCCUCCGGUCGCCGCAGCAAGCUCCUCGCCCACCGGCAUGAGCCGCUACUACGCGCCCUUUCGCGGCGCUGCCAGCGGGGACGGCGGAGGCUGCCUGCCGCUUCCUAUCAUCGCCGCUGAGGCCGCGCUAGCUGUUGUCGACGCCGCCAUUGCUGCCACCGCCUUCGUGCAGUUAGCGAGAAUUCACAGGCACAAUCAGCAACAUGGAUGGACUCGGCAAAAGAUAUUCCAUUUUAUGAUUGGCCUAUGCAACAUAGUAUUCCUUGCGUAUUUCGUAUCUACCGUCAUCGCUACUUGUGAGAAAUGGGUUUGUUGGGUACAUGGAUGCGGAUUUGUUUUGAUGGCUAGUCCGCAGAUAUUGCUUCUUGCCUCGUUUCUACUACUGUUGUCUUUCUGGGUUGACCUGUGUCAUCAGACAAAUGAUGAAGAUGAAGAUGAUGUAAGGAGUCACCAAGAAGCUUUACUAGACAGAACAAAAACCAAACCUGGCACCCGCCCUACUGAUGCCCGUCGGAAGUGUUUCCCAGGAAUACAGCUUGGAAGCCGGCAAAAAUUUGUGAUUUUGGUUCUUGUACUGUCAUUUAUUGUUAUGCUCGCCUUUGCCAUCCUCAUCUGGGUUGGUAGGGGAGAAAAUCCUAUUGAUUCAUCACUACUGAAAAAGGUUUAUUUGGAUGUGUUUUCAGUAGUUGUUCUAGUACUUGGCGCUGCUUUGGCAUGUUAUGGUGCAUUAUUGUUCUCGAAGAUGAGCAAAGUUCGUUCUGAAACCGUGUCAACUGAGAAGUGGAAGGUUGCCAGUUUAGCUGCUGUCUCACUUAUCUGUUUCUCGUCUUCUGCUAUACUAGCACUUGUUACUAAUAUUCCAGUGCUUUUGUAUUGGUACUCGACUGAGGCGGAGAUCAUAAAAAAUGCUGUUAUAUUAUUUUUAUAUUAUUUAAUAGGCUCAUCGGUGCCAUCAGGAUUUGUUUUAUGGGUCAUGAGAGAUAUGCCUCAACGACCAACAGUGGAAAGGCCCACCCAAUCGAGAGUGGUUACCUUGUUCAGGGACAGACCAUCCCCUACACAGGAUCCACAGUGGAGAGCUGCUGUUACAUCCUCUAACAAGGCCCUCAAGUCAAGCCCAAUUUAACCUGAAGAGGAAAACAAGUAAGGUAAUGCUGAGACUUUUCCUGCAUACUUGAUGCGCUGGGACUUUUACCAACACAUUAGUGACAUACUGGCAUCUACUACCAUUCUGACGACUGGCCGGUACAAGAUGGGGUCUGUAAUUCCUACUCCAAGGUAGCUUUAGUUUGGAAACAAUGGAAUUUUACCUGUGGAUGUAGCAAGGUUCCCGCCCAAGCAUUGCGCAUCGUGUGUUUAUCCAUUAGAGCUUUGGUCGGGCAAGGCCUGGAUCAGUAACAAAUGUAAAUAGGCAUAGAAAUGACCGCGCUCUUCAUGGUUUGGCGGUCAGGCUGUUAUGUCUUCCCAAAAUUUUCUGUUUAAUGAUGUGUUGUUGGUUCGGUUAGCUGGUGAGUUCUGUCCUGGAAACUGAAAUCGAGCAUCAAAAGGGAUUUUUUUUUCCUGCUAGAUAUCUACCCUUGUGCUGUGAUGUGAUUAGCUUGGAAAUGUAAGGUUGGUGCUAAAAUUGUUGCGUUCCUUGGAUUGCUGCAGUUCUAAUGAUGGAUCACCCCUGGAGGAGUCUGUCAGUGUGUGUCUGGAUGCAAGUGUGCAAUGUUGCAAUGCAGGCUCACGAUGUGAUUAAAUGUUUGUUGAGGGAGGUGGGAAGCUAAAUGGUACUACAAACUUUCGAAGGCCGCCAUGUAAGGGCUCGGCUUAAAUCUUAAUAGAGGAAAGACAAAU
This 2037-nucleotide ribosomal RNA is filed under the name Triticum aestivum (bread wheat). Its description in RNAcentral is "partial small subunit ribosomal RNA". The record is from RNAcentral. Lineage: Eukaryota; Viridiplantae; Streptophyta; Magnoliopsida; Poales; Poaceae.